Molecule: ribosomal RNA, 322 nt
Filed under: uncultured bacterium
Lineage: Bacteria
Description: bacterial SSU rRNA
Rfam family: Bacterial small subunit ribosomal RNA
Source: RNAcentral
GACGAACGCUGGCGGCGCGCCUAACACAUGCAAGUCGAACGGAGCUUGUUUGUUUGAUUCUUUCGGGAUGACGACUUAUAAGCUUAGUGGCGAACGGGUGAGUAACACGUGAGUAACCUGCCCUACACUGGAGGACAACAGUUAGAGAUGACUGCUAAUACUCCAUACUCCUUCUUAACAUAAGUUAAGUCGGGAAAGUUUUUCGGUGUAGGAUGAGACUAUAUUGUAUCAGCUAGUUGGUGAGGUAAUGGCUCACCAAGGCUAUGACGCAUAACUGGUCUGAGAGGAUGAUCAGUCACACUGGAACUGAGACACGGUCCAG